UACGGAGGGUGCGAGCGUUGUCCGGAAUCACUGGGCGUAAAGGGCGCGUAGGCGGCCUGAUAAGUAGGGGGUGAAAUCCUGCGGCUUAACCGCAGGGCUGCCUUCUAAACUGUCAGGCUGGAGCACAGUAGAGGCAGGUGGAAUUCCCGGUGUAGCGGUGAAAUGCGCAGAUAUCGGGAAGAACACCCGUGGCGAAGGCGGCACUCUGGGACGGUACUGACGCUGAGACGCGAAAGCGUGGGGAGCGAACAGG
RNAcentral lists this ribosomal RNA (253 nucleotides) under uncultured bacterium. RNAcentral describes it as "partial 16S ribosomal RNA". It matches the Rfam family "Bacterial small subunit ribosomal RNA", at positions 524 to 776 of the family's 1533-position model. The record is from RNAcentral.